UGAACUCCGCUUUGAAGAUAUUCUUGUGAGAGUAUAUAAAUGAAGAUACGGCAUGAUAAGUUGAGGUUUUCUUUCAGGACGAGAAAGCAACUUUCAAUCUGUUUCCGACAUAUUUCGAAAUGACUUCAUCAUCUAUCCCUACAAUGGCCAAUCGACAAUGCAUUACAGUGAUUUUGCUUUCAGCAAAAACGGCCUGCCCACUCUAGACCCAUACUAUGAUGACAUAGCAACAUUCCGUGAAGAUUUCUGGUACAGCAUGAAAGAAGUGAACGAGGCGUACCAAUGCACUCAGCUCUGUACCAGCGGUAUCCCCACAUGCUUGAAUGACGGC
Long non-coding RNA from Haliotis rufescens (red abalone), 331 nucleotides. RefSeq lists it as uncharacterized. The transcript is spliced from 3 exons. Lineage: Eukaryota; Metazoa; Mollusca; Gastropoda; Lepetellida; Haliotidae. The record is from RefSeq and is a predicted model, not a curated record.